GGUUGCGUGGCCGAGUGGUCUAAGGCGCUAGAUUAAGGACUAGCCAGCUUAAGCUGGCAGGUAGGCCUCUAGUCCGAAAGGGCGCAGGUUCGAACCCUGCCGCAGCCA
Molecule: transfer RNA, 108 nt
Filed under: Gonium pectorale
Lineage: Eukaryota; Viridiplantae; Chlorophyta; Chlorophyceae; Chlamydomonadales; Volvocaceae
Rfam family: tRNA
About the family: Transfer RNA (tRNA) molecules are approximately 80 nucleotides in length. Their secondary structure includes four short double-helical elements and three loops (D, anti-codon, and T loops).
Source: Rfam by way of RNAcentral